AUGAGCAGCAGCUGGAGCCUGGAUUCGAGCGACAGUGGGUCGGGGAGCUCGACUGGACUUCGACCAUGGGAAGCAUGGCAAGCUGGCGAUCCGGAGCUACGUCCUGGAGUCGCCCAUGUCCUGCUUCCUCGCACUGCUGGCAUCGAAAUUCUAGAUGUCAGGUACCGCAAUCACGCCCUCUAUGCAACCAUUCUUAGUGGAGGAAGACUAUUAUGCAUAACUUCCGAGCGCAGGCUGCUGCUAGGCCCGCUCCGGCCCGGCGGCCAUCUCCGUGUCAGCCCGGAGUGGAUCCAAUCGCUCAACGGCACGACGCUGCCAGAGGCGAGCAACCACCGCACGCUAUUCGUGGGGCUUGCUAGAGCCGAGAGCUCCAACCUGGCGAUGGUCCCCUGGGCGCCGCCCCGCGCCCAGACGGCGUGCACGGCGGCAGAGAUGAUGGAGGCCGAGGACGGCGAGGGCACGUCCAUGGAGGUGGAGCGGGAUAGGGCCGACCAGCAGCUCUCGAUGCCCCAGUGGCAGCAGCAGCAGCACUACAUGGUGCAGCAGCAGCCGAUCCCGGUGGCGUGGUCAUGGUGA
Molecule: ribosomal RNA, 576 nt
Filed under: Triticum aestivum (bread wheat)
Lineage: Eukaryota; Viridiplantae; Streptophyta; Magnoliopsida; Poales; Poaceae
Description: partial small subunit ribosomal RNA
Source: RNAcentral